Molecule: unclassified non-coding RNA, 285 nt
Filed under: Paraphaeosphaeria sp.
Lineage: Eukaryota; Fungi; Ascomycota; Dothideomycetes; Pleosporales; Didymosphaeriaceae
Description: partial contains 5.8S ribosomal RNA, internal transcribed spacer 2, and large subunit ribosomal RNA
Rfam family: 5.8S ribosomal RNA (bases 1-71)
Source: RNAcentral
GUGAGUCAUCGAAUCUUUGAACGCACAUUGCGCCCCUUGGUAUUCCAUGGGGCAUGCCUGUUCGAGCGUCAUCUACACCCUCAAGCUCUGCUUGGUGUUGGGCGUCUGUCCCGCCUUUGCGCGCGGACUCGCCCCAAAUUCAUUGGCAGCGGUCUUUGCCUCCUCUCGCGCAGCACAAUUGCGAUGAGGGGGGCGUGGCCCGCGUCCACGAAGCAACAUUACCGUCUUUGACCUCGGAUCAGGUAGGGAUACCCGCUGAACUUAAGCAUAUCAAUAAGCGGAGGA